This 237-nucleotide ribosomal RNA is filed under the name uncultured Lactobacillus sp. RNAcentral describes it as "partial 16S ribosomal RNA". It matches the Rfam family "Bacterial small subunit ribosomal RNA", at positions 125 to 354 of the family's 1533-position model. Lineage: Bacteria; Bacillati; Bacillota; Bacilli; Lactobacillales; Lactobacillaceae. The record is from RNAcentral.
CCUGCCCAAGAGAUCGGGAUAACACCUGGAAACAGAUGCUAAUACCGGAUAACAACAGAUGAUGUCUAUCAACUGUUUAAAAGAUGGUUCUGCUAUCACUCUUGGAUGGACCUGCGGUGCAUUAGCUAGUUGGUAGGGUAACGGCCUACCAAGGCGAUGAUGCAUAGCCGAGUUGAGAGACUGAUCGGCCACAUUGGGACUGAGACACGGCCCAAACUCCUACGGGAGGCAGCAGGC